GUCCGUUCAUCAUCGCAGCGUAGCUGCUUUGACGCAUGACGCCUACUCAUGGAACGGGGGUAGGU
Molecule: non-coding RNA, 65 nt
Filed under: Synechococcus phage 27A
Also listed under: 1 other name
Description: Synechococcus phage Glutamine-II sequence
Rfam family: Glutamine-II riboswitch aptamer
About the family: The major groove of the PK provides the binding site for L-glutamine
Source: RNAcentral